CCUACGAGUGGCAGCAGUGAGGAAUAUUGGUCAAUGGACGCGAGUCUGAACCAGCCAAGUAGCGUGAAGGAUGACUGCCCUAUGGGUUGUAAACUUCUUUUAUAUGGGAAUAAAAUGUUCCACGUGUGGGAUUUUGUAUGUACCAUAUGAAUAAGGAUCGUCUAACUCCGUGCCAGCAGCCGCGGUAAUACUGAUGGUCCGAGCGUUAUCCGGAUUUAGUGGGUUUAAAGGGAGCGUAGGUGGUUUGUUAAGUCUGUUUUGAAAGGUCGCGGCUCAACCAUAAAAUUGCAGUUGAAAAUGGCAGUCUUGAGUACAGGAGAGGUGGGCGGAAUUCGUGGUGUAGCGGUGAAAUGCUUAGAUAUCACGAAGAACUCCGAUUGCGAAGGCAGUUCACGGGACUGCAACUGACACUGAGGCUCGAAAGUGUGGGUAUCAAACAGGAUUAGAUACCCGAGUAGUC
Molecule: ribosomal RNA, 460 nt
Filed under: uncultured bacterium
Lineage: Bacteria
Description: partial 16S ribosomal RNA
Rfam family: Bacterial small subunit ribosomal RNA
Source: RNAcentral